UAAUCUACCCUAGGGUGGGGAAUAACUCCUCGAAAGGGGGAGCUAAUGCCGACAUGUGCGCCAUUCCCGCAAGGGAGUGAUGGAAAGCCGUACCGUGGGUGCGGCGCCCAAGGAUGAGCUCACGUCCUAUCAGCUUGUUGGCGGGGUAACGGCCCACCAAGGCUGCGACGGGUAGCUGGUCUGAGAGGACGACCAGCCACACUGGCACUGCGACACGGGCCAG
This 223-nucleotide ribosomal RNA is filed under the name uncultured bacterium. RNAcentral describes it as "partial 16S ribosomal RNA". It matches the Rfam family "Bacterial small subunit ribosomal RNA", at positions 122 to 334 of the family's 1533-position model. The record is from RNAcentral.